CACCGCAUCCCGUCCGAUCUGCGAAGUUAAGCAAGGUAUCGCCUAGUCAGUACUGCGGUGGGGGACCACGCGGGAAUCCUAGGUGCUGCAGUUC
RNAcentral lists this ribosomal RNA (94 nucleotides) under Moesziomyces antarcticus. The record is from RNAcentral. Lineage: Eukaryota; Fungi; Basidiomycota; Ustilaginomycetes; Ustilaginales; Ustilaginaceae.